GACGAACGCUGGCGGCGUGCUUAACACAUGCAAGUCGAACGGAAAGGCCCUGCUUUUGUGGGGUGCUCGAGUGGCGAACGGGUGAGUAACACGUGAGUAACCUGCCCUUGACUUUGGGAUAACUUCAGGAAACUGGGGCUAAUACCGGAUAGGAGCUCCUGCUGCAUGGUGGGGGUUGGAAAGUUUCGGCGGUUGGGGAUGGACUCGCGGCUUAUCAGCUUGUUGGUGGGGUAGUGGCUUACCAAGGCUUUGACGGGUAGCCGGCCUGGGAGGGUGGCCGGCCACAUUGCGACUGCGGUACGGCCCAGACUCCUACGGGAGGCAGCAGUGGGGAAUAUUGCACAAUGGGCGGAAGCCUGAUGCAGCAGCGCCGCGUGCGGGAUGACGGCCUUCGGGUUGUAAACCGCUUUCGCCUGUGACGAAGCGGGAGUGACGGUAAUGGGUAAAGAAGCACCGGCUAACUACGUG
This 468-nucleotide ribosomal RNA is filed under the name uncultured bacterium. Its description in RNAcentral is "partial 16S ribosomal RNA". It matches the Rfam family "Bacterial small subunit ribosomal RNA", at positions 28 to 507 of the family's 1533-position model. The record is from RNAcentral.